This 39-nucleotide ribosomal RNA is filed under the name Alternaria helianthiinficiens. RNAcentral's name for it is "partial 28S ribosomal RNA". Lineage: Eukaryota; Fungi; Ascomycota; Dothideomycetes; Pleosporales; Pleosporaceae. RNAcentral also lists the same sequence under 2 other names. The record is from RNAcentral.
UUUUGACCUCGGAUCAGGUAGGGAUACCCGCUGAACUUA